UACGGGGGGGGCAAGCGUUGUUCGGAAUUAUUGGGCGUAAAGAGCUCGUAGGCGGUUUGUCGCGUCUGCUGUGAAAACCGGAGGCUCAACCUCCGGCCUGCAGUGGGUACGGGCAGACUAGAGUGCGGUAGGGGAGAUUGGAAUUCCUGGUGUAGCGGUGGAAUGCGCAGAUAUCAGGAGGAACACCGAUGGCGAAGGCAGAUCUCUGGGCCGUAACUGACGCUGAGGAGCGAAAGCAUGGGGAGCGAACAGG
This 253-nucleotide ribosomal RNA is filed under the name uncultured bacterium. Its description in RNAcentral is "partial 16S ribosomal RNA". It matches the Rfam family "Bacterial small subunit ribosomal RNA", at positions 524 to 776 of the family's 1533-position model. The record is from RNAcentral.